RNAcentral lists this ribosomal RNA (483 nucleotides) under Triticum aestivum (bread wheat). Its description in RNAcentral is "partial small subunit ribosomal RNA". The record is from RNAcentral. Lineage: Eukaryota; Viridiplantae; Streptophyta; Magnoliopsida; Poales; Poaceae.
AAUGCUACACUCCAGGAACAAUAUUCAGCUCUAUGCAAUAUUAUGAGUCACAAGGGUGAUACUAUCACCACGGUUUUGGAAUAUUUUCCACCAAAUGUGACGUUCAAAAGAGAUUUAAUUGGACCCAGACUCCAAUCGUGUAAUAUCCUGCUCCAAUGAUUGUCCAUGGUGCAAUUGUCACAUGAGUCUGAUGUAUUUCGUUGGAACCUACAUGAAAAUGGACAAUUCUCAGUGGUGUCGGCUUUGCUCCAGUAUGAUGUGCCAGUUGAUAAUAACAAGCAGAUCUGCAAGAUAAACAUACAUCUUAAGAAUAAAAUCUUAGCAUGGUAUCUUCAUCGCGGAGCCAUUCUUACUAAAGAUAACCUUCUUAAGAGUAAUUGUCAUGGAAGUACACAAUGUGUCUUUCGUCGGCAUGAUGAGACAAUAAAACAUUUGUUCUUCAAAUGCAAAUUGCCUCGUUCUAUAUAUCAGCCAUCCAAAUAG